RNAcentral lists this ribosomal RNA (494 nucleotides) under uncultured bacterium. Its description in RNAcentral is "partial 16S ribosomal RNA". It matches the Rfam family "Bacterial small subunit ribosomal RNA", at positions 28 to 507 of the family's 1533-position model. The record is from RNAcentral.
GACGAACGCUGGCGGCGUGCUUAACACAUGCAAGUCGAACGGAAAGGCCUGCUUUCCCUUGUGGAUUGCGGGUACUCGAGUGGCGAACGGGUGAGUAACACGUGAGUGAUCUGCCCCCAACUUGGGUAUAAGCCUGGGAAACUGGGUCUAAUUCCCGAUAGGACUGCAGGGUGGUGCCUGUGGUGGAAAACGAUUUUCUAGUGGUUGGGGAUGAGCUCGCGGCCUAUCAGCUUGUUGGUGGGGUAAUGGCCUACCAAGGCGGCGACGGGUAGCCGGCCUGGGAGGGUGGACGGCGACAUUGGGACUGAGAUACGGCCCAGAAUCCUACGGGAGGCAGCAGUGGGGAAUAUUGCACAAUGGGCGGAAGCCUGAUGCAGCGACGCCGCGUGGGGGAUGACGGCCUUCGGGUUGUAAACUCCUUUCGACCGCGAGGAAGCCACCUGGUUGGAAGGGUGGUGACGGUAGUGGUAGAAGAAGCACCGGCUAACUACGUG